UGCUGUUACAAAAUGAUAGAAAUUAUUAUAAAUUAAGGAAUGUAUCUCCCUCAUGCAAAGCUCUGAUUCCUUUCACGGAUUUGGCUUUACUUUCUGGACCUUUUGGAUUAUAGCUCUUCAUCUUUUAUAUAAGCUUUGGAUUUAAAAUAUUUUGGCCACGAGCAUCACUGAAGAGACAUGUAUUGUCGAAAUGCGCAUCUGGUGCA
This 206-nucleotide long non-coding RNA is filed under the name Mytilus galloprovincialis (Mediterranean mussel). Lineage: Eukaryota; Metazoa; Mollusca; Bivalvia; Mytilida; Mytilidae. The record is from RNAcentral.